Long non-coding RNA from Octopus sinensis (East Asian common octopus), 440 nucleotides. RefSeq lists it as uncharacterized. Lineage: Eukaryota; Metazoa; Mollusca; Cephalopoda; Octopoda; Octopodidae. The record is from RefSeq and is a predicted model, not a curated record. The transcript has 2 exons.
CAAUACACACACGCGCACGCGCACACAGACACGCACACACACACACACACACACGCACACAGGUUUAUUAAUGAAUGCGUAGUUGAGAAAUAUAUUGUCUUGAAAGUGCGUUUUGCCGAUGCUACAUAGGAUUUUGGCAUCAAUCCGUUGCUCAGUUUGUACUGCGGCAGGAUGUACCAGAGAAUUAGUCAGAUAAUCUCUGUCUGUCGAGCAGUUCGAUGACAUCUAAGAGUAGCGAGUAGAAUCGGUGGUUAGACGUAGUUCAUUUGUAUCAUCAGCACUAAUAUUCACUAAUAUUAACAGCUAUUCACCGUUGGCUUGAAUUUAUGUGACAUUAAAAAAAGGAACGUGGAAUGCGAUGUUUCUGCCUCAGUAAUGGAUGGGAUAAUUCUAGCAAAAUCUAAAUGACUUAAGUGAAAAGGAUUUCAUAAUUGGUGGGC